UACGGAAGGCGCAGUGGGGAAUAUUGCACAAUGGGCGAAAGCCUGAUGCAGCUAUGCCGCGUGUAUGAAGAAGGCCUUAGGGUUGUAAAGUACUUUCAUCGGGGAGGAAAAACAAAACUAAUAAUUUUAUUUCUUGACGUUACCCGAAAAAGAAGCACCGGCUAACUCCGUGCCAGCAGCCGCGGUAAUACGGAGGGUGCUAGCGUUAAUCAGAAUUACUGGGCGUAAAGAGCACGUAGGUGGUUUUUUUAAGUCAGAUGUGAAAUCCCUGGGCUUAACCUAGGAACUGCAUUUUGAAACUGAAAUACUAGAGUAUCGUAGAGGGAGGUAGAAUUCUAGGUGUAGCGGUGAAAUGCGUAGAUAUCUGGAGGAAUACCUGUGGCGAAAGCGGCCUCCUAAACGAAUACUGACACUGAGGUGCGAAAGCGUGGGGAGCAAACAGGGAUUAGAUACC
Molecule: ribosomal RNA, 454 nt
Filed under: uncultured bacterium
Lineage: Bacteria
Description: bacterial SSU rRNA
Rfam family: Bacterial small subunit ribosomal RNA
Source: RNAcentral